GAUGAACGCUGGCGGCGUGCCUAAUACAUGCAAGUCGAGCGAACAGACGAGGAGCUUGCUCCUCUGACGUUAGCGGCGGACGGGUGAGUAACACGUGGAUAACCUACCUAUAAGACUGGGAUAACUUCGGGAAACCGGAGCUAAUACCGGAUAACAUGUUGAACCGCAUGGUUCAACAGUGAAAGACGGUUUUGCUGUCACUUAUAGAUGGAUCCGCGUCGCAUUAGCUAGUUGGUAAGGUAACGGCUUACCAAGGCAACGAUGCGUAGCCGACCUGAGAGGGUGAUCGGCCACACUGGAACUGAGACACGGUCCAGACUCCUACGGGAGGCAGCAGUAGGGAAUCUUCCGGAAGGGGCGAAAGCCUGACGGAGCAACGCCGCGGGAGUGAAGAAGGUCUUCGGAUCGUAAAACUCUGUUAUUAGGGAAGAACAAAAUGUGUAAGUAACUAUGCACGUCUUGACGGUACCUAAUCAGAAAGCCACGGCUAACUACGUG
This 498-nucleotide ribosomal RNA is filed under the name uncultured bacterium. RNAcentral describes it as "partial 16S ribosomal RNA". It matches the Rfam family "Bacterial small subunit ribosomal RNA", at positions 28 to 507 of the family's 1533-position model. The record is from RNAcentral.